GCUUGCUGUAUUUUCGUCGCGGAAGAAUCUUCCUCCUUCGGAGAGUACACUUCGUUAGGGGACUACAGCAAGCUC
This 75-nucleotide transfer RNA is filed under the name Fusarium pseudograminearum CS3220. RNAcentral also lists the same sequence under 2 other names. The record is from RNAcentral. Lineage: Eukaryota; Fungi; Ascomycota; Sordariomycetes; Hypocreales; Nectriaceae.